GAUGAAGAACGCAGCGAAAUGCGAUACUUGGUGUGAAUUGCAGAAUCCCGUGAACCAUCGAGUCUUUGAACGCAAGUUGCGCCCGAAGCCAUUAGGCCGAGGGCACGCCUGCCUGGGCGUCACACGUCGUUGCCCCCCCAUCUACUCCUUCGGGAUUGCGGGGGGCGGGUGAUGGCCUCCCGUGCGCCUCGUCGCGCGGUUGGCAUAAAUACCAAGUCCUCGGCGACGCACGCCACGACAAUCGGUGGUUGCGAAACCUCGGUUGCCCGUCGUGUGCGGUCGUCGCGCAUCGAGGGCUCGAAAAAAUUGCCGGGCUCCGGCUCGGCUUUCAACGCGACCCCAGGUCAGGCGGGGUUACCCGCUGAAUUUAAGCAUAUCAAUAAGCGGAGGA
This 391-nucleotide unclassified non-coding RNA is filed under the name soil metagenome. Its description in RNAcentral is "partial contains 5.8S ribosomal RNA, internal transcribed spacer 2, and large subunit ribosomal RNA". The stretch from base 1 to 122 matches the Rfam family "5.8S ribosomal RNA", at positions 35 to 154 of the family's 154-position model. The record is from RNAcentral.